This 446-nucleotide long non-coding RNA is filed under the name Homo sapiens (human). RNAcentral describes it as "non-protein coding lnc-POLRMT-6:4". The record is from RNAcentral. Lineage: Eukaryota; Metazoa; Chordata; Mammalia; Primates; Hominidae.
ACGUCCUGUGCACCAUUUGGUUGGGACAAGAGAGGCUGGCGGUUACCUUUCUUGGGGAGACGCGUCCGACUGCUUCAUUGUGGGGGCCUCAGGAGCGGAGGAUCGGGUCCCGCCCGAGGUGACGCGUAAACCCAGACUCUCAGCAACGCGGGUAGGAAGGACCCUUGAAGUUCCGCGGCGACCACGUCGGCUGAAACCAGCAGCCCAGGACAAGUGGACCAGCCAGCAAGACCCAGACCAUCCAAACCGGCUGAUCCUACGACAGGACCCAGAUGCCAGUGAAAGUGACCACAGCCCUGCUCUAGUCACCCCGGAAGCUGACCAGUCUACGCACGGCCGAAGCUUCGUCAAGGAAGUAAAUGUAGUUAGAAAUCUUAAGCCCAGUAAUUUUCCUUGUCAUCUUAAUUGUUUUACUAUUAACCUGUCGCUUUGCUCAACCCCCUCCU